Cinara cedri is the source of this 226-nucleotide non-coding RNA. NCBI's taxonomy places the organism in Eukaryota, Metazoa, Arthropoda, Insecta, Hemiptera, Aphididae. The record is from the annotation of a GenBank genome assembly.
ACGCGACACCGUUUCAAACACAGAGUGAAACAAAUAAAUACAUUUCUUAUCACGCUUCAGCGAAAGUAUAAAAUUUGAACAGUCGUUUUCGAUAGACAAUUUUCCACGAGAAAUUUUAAAAUUCGAAUUAAAGUAUCACACCACGCGUUCCAACUGGGCUACUUAAAACAAAUAAUAUUUAUCAAUAAUAGUGAACGUAAUUAGUUCGAAAAAAGCGUGACGUUCG